CAGAAGUCACCUCGUGUCACCUCUGCUGCGUUGUGAGGGUCGAAGCACGUCACCGAGCCCAGCCACAGCCAAGAAGUCGGGAGAUAGGACACGUUGGUUUAGUUGGAGUGGUGCAGUCACGCUGUGGAAGGCCGUGUGGCCCAGGAUGGGGUGGGGGGGGGGGGGCCUUGAAACUGUAUUUUACCCUCCACCGAAGUACAGGUCUCCUCCAGUCUCUGGCCAAGGGCUUCCUUGAACCCUCUCCCCCAUGGCCAUGUCUUCCGUGCUCCUCGGCCACUCGCGCCCGUGACCCUAACUCCCGGAUCUCGCCGUCAGGGCAUCCGUGGCCCCUCAUACCUUGGCUCCCGGCACCCCAGCCUCUGACCCCACUCCCACCUCUCCUCCCUCCUGUCAUUCGGCACCAACAGGUCCUUGACCUCAGUGGGGCUGUGGCAAAAUCCGGCCUCGGGCACAGCCAGCCCCACGCCCGCACCCACGAAGUUGAAUGCGGCUGGAGGGAACCCCGCAGGCGUCCUGCGAGAACUGAGUUGUAACCCACUGUCGGAAGGCAGGGAGGAACGAAGAGGCGAUAACAACCCUUCAGACCUUAGAUCUGAGCCGUGGACGGAUCUUAGGCGUGCGGACCUCUCCCCUCCUCCUUCUAGUCCGAGAGCCAGAUCCGGGGACUGGCUCGCGCUGGCUCUUCCCUCCCGCCGCAUUCACCACACGUCCAUGAAGUGCCCCCGAUCUCGGGCGCGCACCGGGCAGUUACGGGGCUCAGAGGAGCUAGGCAGGGCCCGGAACCAGUGUGAACUCCAGGGGUGGUCUGGGGGCUGGCCGCACCCGCAUCACGUGGGAGCUUGUUGAGAAGAAAGGUUCUCAGGGCCUCAUCCCGGACCUGCAGAAUCAGAAUCCCCGGGGGCGGGUGUCGGACCCAGAAGCUGUGUUUGGGGCAAGCCCUCUGGUGCCUCUUGAGCACCUUUGGAGUUUGAGGAUCCUGUCUAGACACUUGCUGAUUAGCGUGUGACACCAAGACCCGGGCGCUCGUCCAAAACGGCAGGCCCUGGGACCUCACCACGGGCCCCCUGAAAGAGAAACUGCGUUUUCACCGGGCCCCCCAGGGAUCUGUCACGGGCCCGGGGGCUGGAGGUGGCCGAAGGACGCAUCCCAGGGCGUAGACGCUCAGGAAGCCUUGGGUGACUGGUUGUCGCACAGAAGGAGCACCCUCGCCGGGCUGCCCAGAUAGGUUCCACUUCCCCGGGCCCAUGCUGAGGCUCAGCGGGGACGCCCUGGGGCCUGACCUCGCAUCUGGUCCCUACGCUGUAUUAGCGAGGCUGAGGGAGAGUCGCGCCUACCCGUCGCCGGUGGGGGUAGAAAUCCGGUCCCCCUCCCCGGAGGGCUCUUUGGCCAUGUCUGCCGCGCCCCAGGCUGGACAGACGGAGCAAAGUCCGUGUGCCCUGGAUGCCGCCAGCAGGAAGGCCCUGGUGGGGAAGAUACAAUGUCUCUGGAAGGAAGCAGGAUGAAUGGCUAAUAUUCCUGGUCCCUGGGGAGGGAAACAGGUGCGCCUGGGGGAGACACCAAGCCCGAGUUUUCACUGUCUGUUACUUUGUACCGCUUGGCUUUUGUACCAAGUACAACUGUUAUCCACCUGGUG
This is a long non-coding RNA of Neofelis nebulosa (Clouded leopard), 1633 nucleotides long. RefSeq lists it as uncharacterized. The transcript has 2 exons. Lineage: Eukaryota; Metazoa; Chordata; Mammalia; Carnivora; Felidae. The record is from RefSeq and is a predicted model, not a curated record.